GGGGAAGUGGCUGAGUGGCUGAAGGCACUGGUUUGCUAAAUCAGGGUGCGCGUACGUGCACCAUGGGUUCGAAUCCCGUCUUUCCCG
Molecule: transfer RNA, 87 nt
Filed under: Micromonas pusilla CCMP1545
Lineage: Eukaryota; Viridiplantae; Chlorophyta; Mamiellophyceae; Mamiellales; Mamiellaceae
Description: tRNA-Ser
Rfam family: tRNA
About the family: Transfer RNA (tRNA) molecules are approximately 80 nucleotides in length. Their secondary structure includes four short double-helical elements and three loops (D, anti-codon, and T loops).
Source: RNAcentral